Molecule: ribosomal RNA, 463 nt
Filed under: uncultured bacterium
Lineage: Bacteria
Description: partial 16S ribosomal RNA
Rfam family: Bacterial small subunit ribosomal RNA
Source: RNAcentral
GACGAACGCUGGCGGCGUGCUUAACACAUGCAAGUCGAACGGAAAGGCCUUUUCGGAGGUACUCGAGUGGCGAACGGGUGAGUAACACGUGGGUGAUCUGCCCUGCACUCUGGGAUAAGCCUGGGAAACUGGGUCUAAUACCGGAUAGGACCGCACUUUAGUGUGUGUGGUGGAAAGUUUUUUCGGUGUAGGAUGAGCCCGCGGCCUAUCAGCUUGUUGGUGGGGUAAUGGCCUACCAAGGCGGCGACGGGUAGGCGGACUGAGAGGUUGGUCGGCCACAUUGGGACUGAGGUACGGCCCAGACGCCUACGGGAGGCAGCAGUGGGGAAUAUUGCAAAAUGGGCGGGAGCCUGAUGCAGCGACGCCGCGUGGGGGAUGACGGCCUUCGGGUUGUAAACUCCUUUCGCCAGGGACGAAGCGUUUUGUGACGGUACCUGGAGAAGAAGCACCGGCUAACUACGUG